AUACGGGGGGUGCAAGCGUUAUUCGGAUUUACUGGGCGUAAAGGGCGCGUAGGCGGCUUGGUAAGUCAGAUGUGAAAGCCCGGGGCUUAACCCCGGAAGUGCAUUUGAAACUAUCAGGCUUGAGUAUGGGAGAGGGAAGUGGAAUUCCUGGUGUAGAGGUGAAAUUCGUAGAUAUCAGGAGGAACACCGGUGGCGAAGGCGACUUCCUGGACCAAUACUGACGCUGAGGCGCGAAGGCGUGGGGAGCAAACAGGAUUAGAUACCCCAGUAGUCC
RNAcentral lists this ribosomal RNA (274 nucleotides) under uncultured bacterium. RNAcentral describes it as "partial 16S ribosomal RNA". It matches the Rfam family "Bacterial small subunit ribosomal RNA", at positions 523 to 796 of the family's 1533-position model. The record is from RNAcentral.